ACCUGCGUAGCUCAGCGGCAGAGCACCGGUCUUAUAAGCCGAGGGUCGCGGGUUCGAAUCCCGCCGCAGGUACCA
RNAcentral lists this transfer RNA (75 nucleotides) under Streptomyces sp. R301. RNAcentral describes it as "tRNA-Ile". It matches the Rfam family "tRNA". Rfam says of the family: Transfer RNA (tRNA) molecules are approximately 80 nucleotides in length. Lineage: Bacteria; Bacillati; Actinomycetota; Actinomycetes; Kitasatosporales; Streptomycetaceae. The record is from RNAcentral. RNAcentral also lists the same sequence under 1 other name.